UUCUUUUUUUUUUUUUUUUGUGCCCAAAUUGUAUCCAACACAUUCAAUAUCACAUCUUGGUGAAAGCAAAUAACUUAUCACUCUUAUUUUUUGAGAAAACUCAGUCAACAUAUAAGCUGUAUAGGCUUGUAAUAUAUGGGUAGAAACGAUAGCUAAACAUAUGAAAACAGGUUAUGGUCUUAUGAUCAUGAGUGAUUGGUAGAUUCCUUAGAGACAAUAUUUUCACUUCAAAUUGUCAUGAAAAAUAAGUCAACAAUGGACUUUAUGAACUUGUAAUGUGGCUUGACAACGAUAGCUAAAAAAAAUAAAAUUUUCAAGGACAAUGCACUUAAGAUCGCACUUCUUCCCAAAAUUUGCCCCAGUUUUGGAUUUAAAAUCCGGGACACCAUUUUGACUCUCUUUUUUUUUUUAAUCAAUCACUAGAGGGAAUUCAACAUUGGAUGUCUUCACAUUUUUCUUUUUUUUUCAUUUUCAUCAUUUUUCAUUUUUUCACAUUUUUCUUUUCUCUCUUUUUC
RNAcentral lists this long non-coding RNA (515 nucleotides) under Coffea arabica (coffee). Its description in RNAcentral is "long non-coding RNA (CARA_LNC008309)". Lineage: Eukaryota; Viridiplantae; Streptophyta; Magnoliopsida; Gentianales; Rubiaceae. The record is from RNAcentral.